AAAGUCGUAACAAGGUUUCCGUAGGUGAACCUGCGGAAGGAUCAUUACCGAGUUAGGGUCCUCAAAGGCCCGAUCUCCCAACCCUUUGCUUAUUAUACCUUGUGUUGCUUCGGUAGGUCUGGCUCGUCCUACCGGAGGACCGUAAAACGUCCUCUGGAGAGUGCCUACCGAUAGCCCAAACCAGAAACUCUUGAACAAAACAUGUCUUGUCUGAGUAAACAAAAAAAUUAAAGCAAAACUUUCAACAACGGAUCUCUUGGUUCUG
RNAcentral lists this unclassified non-coding RNA (265 nucleotides) under Ascomycota sp. Its description in RNAcentral is "partial contains small subunit ribosomal RNA, internal transcribed spacer 1, and 5.8S ribosomal RNA". The stretch from base 1 to 47 matches the Rfam family "Eukaryotic small subunit ribosomal RNA", at positions 1785 to 1831 of the family's 1831-position model. Lineage: Eukaryota; Fungi; Ascomycota. The record is from RNAcentral.